AGUUUUAACUACAUUGUAACUAUGUGAAUCCCCAUUUCAUUAUACAUGUAGAUGAAUUCCGCCUUCAAAUAAUCUUGCAUUGUCAAAGUAUCUCAAAGUUUCGAAGCAGCUGACCAAAGCAACGCGGCUCCCAGCUCAGGCGGCCAGUAGACCCCAGCAGCUAGCAGUGUUCGUGUGUAGCUGUGUGUUUUUUCUCGAGCAUUUAUUAGUGAUCAAGGUGGAAGAGGACUGCCGUGGCGCUACUCAAGGCCCAGCAGAGCGGUGAGUGCGCGGCUCGGCGCGGAGGUCGAGGUGGCUUGAGUGCCGCUGGCGUGCCUGCGCGUUGUUAGGGAGGAGUGAAGCGGAUGAGUGUUUUGUGCUGGAAUGGAAUGGAAGAGGCUGUUGAUGGUGAUAACAGGAACUUGGUGUACACGAUGAUGUAAGGAGACUGAUCCACUACACCCUUGGUUUGCUGCAUCCCUAUAUUAAUAUGGUAAUUUUAACGUAAUUGUCUGUCUCUCCUUCUGUUUGUCUGUCUAUAUGA
Molecule: long non-coding RNA, 523 nt
Organism: Portunus trituberculatus (swimming crab)
Lineage: Eukaryota; Metazoa; Arthropoda; Malacostraca; Decapoda; Portunidae
Exons: 3
Source: RefSeq, a predicted model, not a curated record